UACAGAGGGUGCGAGCGUUAAUCGGAAUUACUGGGCGUAAAGGGCGCGUAGGCGGUCAAUUAAGUUAGAGGUGAAAUCCCUGGGCUUAACCUGGGCAUUGCCUAUAAUACUGGUUUGCUAGAGUAGAGUAGAGGGAAGUGGAAUUUCCGGUGUAGCGGUGAAAUGCGUAGAUAUCGAGAGGAACACCUGCGGCGAAGGCGGGUUGCUGGGCUGAUACUGACGCUGAGGCGCGAAAGCCAGGGGAGCGAACGGG
RNAcentral lists this ribosomal RNA (253 nucleotides) under uncultured bacterium. Its description in RNAcentral is "partial 16S ribosomal RNA". It matches the Rfam family "Bacterial small subunit ribosomal RNA", at positions 524 to 776 of the family's 1533-position model. The record is from RNAcentral.